RNAcentral lists this ribosomal RNA (780 nucleotides) under uncultured marine Acantharea. RNAcentral describes it as "SSU rRNA". It matches the Rfam family "Eukaryotic small subunit ribosomal RNA", at positions 436 to 1226 of the family's 1831-position model. Lineage: Eukaryota; Acantharea. The record is from RNAcentral.
GCAAAUUACCCAAUCCCAACGCGGGGAGGUAGUGACAAGAAAUAACAACAACUAACCUAUUUCAGGUGAGUUGAUUGGAAUGAGUACAAUCUAAACACCUUAACGACUAUCCAUUGGAGGGCAAGCCUGGUGCCAGCAGCCGCGGUAAUUCCAGCUCCAAUAGCGUAUACUAAUGUUGUUGCAGUUAAAAAGCUCGUAGUCGGAUUUCAGUAGGCUCAGUUAAGUCUCUUCUAUUGAGUUCUUUAUGGGCCUGCUUCUUUGACAGAAACUUCUAUGUUAUUCAUUUAGCGUGGGUAGCGACUGUCUCUUUUACUUUGAGAAAAUUAGAGUGUUCAAAGCAGGUAUUCGCCUGAAUAUUACUCUUGGAAUAAUGCUAUAAGACUUUGGUUCUAAUGUAUUGGUGAUUGGGACCAGAGUAAUGAUUGAUAGGGACGGUUGGGGUCUUACGUACUGCAAAGCGAGAGGUGAAAUUCUUGGACCUUUGUAUGACGAACAACUGCGAAAGCAUUGGACUAGGACGUUCCCGUUGAUCAAGAACGAAAGUUGGGGGAUCGAAGACGAUCAGAUACCGUCGUAGUCUCAACCAUAAACUAUGCCAGCUAGGGAUCGGAGGACGUUACAUGUUCGACUCCUUCGGCACCUUAUGAGAAAUCAAAGCAUUUGGGUUCCGGGGGGAGUAUGGUCGCAAGGCUGAAACUUAAAGGAAUUGACGGGAGGGCACCACCAGGAGUGGAGCCUGUGGCUUAAUUUGACUCAACACGGGAAAACUUACCAGGUCCG